UGGGGAAUUUUGGACAAUGGGGGCAACCCUGAUCCAGCAAUGCCGCGUGAGUGAAGAAGGCCUUCGGGUUGUAAAGCUCUUUUGUCAGGGAAGAAACGGUAGUAGCGAAUAACUACUACUAAUGACGGUACCUGAAGAAUAAGCACCGGCUAACUACGUGCCAGCAGCCGCGGUAAUACGUAGGGUGCAAGCGUUAAUCGGAAUUACUGGGCGUAAAGCGUGCGCAGGCGGUUGUGUAAGUCAGAUGUGAAAUCCCCGGGCUCAACCUGGGAAUUGCAUUUGAGACUGCACGGCUAGAGUGUGUCAGAGGGGGGUAGAAUUCCACGUGUAGCAGUGAAAUGCGUAGAUAUGUGGAGGAAUACCGAUGGCGAAGGCAGCCCCCUGGGAUAACACUGACGCUCAUGCACGAAAGCGUGGGGAGCAAACAGGAUUAGAUACCCGUGUAGUCCCUGAGCGGGCUGGCAAGGCGCAU
RNAcentral lists this ribosomal RNA (472 nucleotides) under uncultured bacterium. RNAcentral's name for it is "bacterial SSU rRNA". It matches the Rfam family "Bacterial small subunit ribosomal RNA", at positions 355 to 825 of the family's 1533-position model. The record is from RNAcentral.